UACAGAGGGUGCAAGCGUUAAUCGGAAUUACUGGGCGUAAAGCGCGCGUAGGUGGUUCAGUAAGAUCGAAGUGAAAUCCCCGGGCUUAACCUGGGAACUGCUUUCAUAACUGCUGGGCUAGAGUACGGUAGAGGGUAGUGGAAUUUCCUGUGUAGCGGUGAAAUGCGUAAAUAUCAGGAGGAACACCCGUGGCGAAGGCUGCUACCUGGAACGUUACUGACGCUGAGGCGCGAAAGCUAGGGGAGCGAACGGGAUUAGAUACCCCCGUAGUCCCUGAGCGGG
Molecule: ribosomal RNA, 282 nt
Filed under: uncultured prokaryote
Description: partial 16S ribosomal RNA
Rfam family: Bacterial small subunit ribosomal RNA
Source: RNAcentral